RNAcentral lists this ribosomal RNA (253 nucleotides) under uncultured bacterium. RNAcentral's name for it is "partial 16S ribosomal RNA". It matches the Rfam family "Bacterial small subunit ribosomal RNA", at positions 524 to 776 of the family's 1533-position model. The record is from RNAcentral.
UACGGAGGGUGCGAGCGUUGUCCGGAAUCAUUGGGCGUAAAGGGCGCGUAGGUGGCGGCUUAAGCGUGCGGUGAAAGCUCGGGGCUCAACCCCGGGUCGGCCGUGCGAACUGGGGGGCUGGAGCACUGUAGAGGCAGGCGGAAUUCCGGGUGUAGCGGUGGAAUGCGUAGAGAUCCGGAAGAACACCGGUGGCGAAGGCGGCCUGCUGGGCAGUUGCUGACACUGAGGCGCGACAGCGUGGGGAGCAAACAGG